RNAcentral lists this long non-coding RNA (474 nucleotides) under Nicotiana tabacum (common tobacco). RNAcentral describes it as "long non-coding RNA (NTAB_LNC018378)". Lineage: Eukaryota; Viridiplantae; Streptophyta; Magnoliopsida; Solanales; Solanaceae. The record is from RNAcentral.
UAACUAUAUAUAGCCGCAGCCCGCAAUUUGCCAAAUGGGUUGAAAGAAAUUUGAAACGAUAUCUGGAAAAUGCGACUUCAAAACUUGAGCUUUACUAUCUCCUCUCAAUGAAAAGAAUAAGAAAAUAAAUGAAUUAUCGAAAUCGUAAGCUACCAUACGAAGUCAUAUAUGUUUAAUUUAUAACUUCAAGAAAUCACGAGAAGCAAACUAAAAAAAACCCUAAAAUCCACAUACGUCUACUUAUGUGCCAGCUUUCUCUCAAAUAACAAGCGAGCUCAAAGAAAAAAGAUGUAACAAAAGAGAUUCAAAAAGAAUACCUAUACGUCUGCUUAUUUGCCUCUUCUGUUAAAGAAUCUAUGCUUUCACCGCAAUAUGAAAUAGGCAGGAGAUUUUGAGAAGAAUGAAGCUUCACCCUCCGCUACUUCUCCGGGAAAAGACGCAAAGAACAAAGAAUUUUGGGCUUUCUGAAGUUUC